This 254-nucleotide ribosomal RNA is filed under the name uncultured bacterium. Its description in RNAcentral is "partial 16S ribosomal RNA". It matches the Rfam family "Bacterial small subunit ribosomal RNA", at positions 524 to 776 of the family's 1533-position model. The record is from RNAcentral.
UACGUAGGGUGCGAGCGUUGUCCGGAAUUAUUGGGCGUAAAGAGCUCGUAGGCGGUGUGUCGCGUCGGUCGUGAAAACUUGGGGCUUAACUCUGAGCUUGCGGUCGAUACGGGCAUCACUUGAGUUCGGCAGGGGAGACUGGAAUUCCUGGUGUAGCGGUGAAAUGCGCAGAUAUCAGGAGGAACACCGGUGGCGAAGGCGGGUCUCUGGGCCGUAACUGACGCUGAGGAGCGAAAGCAUGGGGAGCGAACAGG